UGCCACUCUUAACGGGGUGGCUUUUCAGAAGUGUAAAAAGCUUCUGGAAUAAGGGCUGGGCAAGACCGGUGCCAGCCGCCGCGGUAACACCGGCAGCUCAAGUGGUAGCCGCUUUUAUUGGGCCUAAAGCGUCCGUAGCCGGUCUGAUAAGUCUCUGAUGAAAUCCCACAGCUUAACUGUGGGAAUUGCUGGAGAUACUAUCAUGACUCGAGGUCGGGAGAGGCUGGAGGUACUCCCAGGGUAGGGGUGAAAUCCUGUAAUCCUGGGAGGACCACCUGUGGCGAAGGCGUCCAGCUGGAACGAACCUGACGGUGAGGGACGAAAGCCAGGGGCGCGAACCGGAUUAGAUACCCGGGUAGUCCUGGCCGUAAACGAUGUGGACUUGGUGUUGAGAUGGCUUCGAGCUGCCCCAGUGCCGAAGGGAAGCUGUUAAGUCCACCGCCUGGGAAGUACGGCCGCA
This 460-nucleotide ribosomal RNA is filed under the name uncultured archaeon. RNAcentral describes it as "bacterial SSU rRNA". It matches the Rfam family "Archaeal small subunit ribosomal RNA", at positions 385 to 845 of the family's 1478-position model. The record is from RNAcentral.